Ictalurus punctatus (channel catfish) is the source of this 758-nucleotide long non-coding RNA. NCBI's taxonomy places the organism in Eukaryota, Metazoa, Chordata, Actinopteri, Siluriformes, Ictaluridae. The record is from Ensembl.
GGGAAACGAAACAGAUGCAGCCACAAUGGAGCUGGUAGGAGCAUUCACAAAACCGGGUAAAAUAAGCUAAUCACUCAAAGUGAGAAAUGGAGCAGAAAAAGAUGGCAGCUAUGAAUCAGAGCCCAUCUAGAGAAGUGCCCCAGAGAGGGCUGGCAGAUUCAGAUCUUAGCACAGUGAUGUCCAAAAUGACAAUUAAUAAACACCAAGCCGAUCCUGAGUGUGAGAACAUAACACCGACUUCACCUGUAUCGAGCUGUGUGUCAAUGAAAAGUGACCAUUCAAUGAACCCUCCACUGAAGUUUCAGGAAGAAUCAUCAAGCAUUCCCGGGGGAAAACCACUUUCGCCUGUACCGAGCUGUCUGUCAAUGAAAAGUGAUAAUUCAAUGAACCCUCCACUGAAAUUUCAAAGUGAAACAUCACAAGUGCACAGGGGAAAACAAGCUUCGCCCGUACCGAGCUGUCUGUCAAUGAAAAGUGAUAAUUCAAUGAACCCUCCACUGAAAUUUCAAAGUGAAACAUCACAAGUGCACAGGGGAAAACAAGCUUCGCCUGUACCGAGCUGUCUGUCAAUGAAAAGUGAUAAUUCAAUGAACCCUCCACUGAAAUUUCAAAGUGAAACAUCACAAGUGCACAGGGGAAAACAAGCUUCGCCCGUACCGAGCUGUCUGUCAAUGAAAAGUGAUAAUUCAAUGAACCCUCCACUGAAAUUUCAAAGUGAAACAUCACAAUUGCACAGGACGAUAAAACAGGAGAGAUCC